UACGUAGGUGGCAAGCGUUGUCCGGAUUUACUGGGCGUAAAGAGCGCGCAGGCGGUCGAUUUAGUCGCGUGUGAAAGCCCCCGGCUCAACUGGGGAGGGUCACGCGAUACUGAUCGACUCGAAGGCAGGAGAGGGUAGUGGAAUUCCCGGUGUAGUGGUGAAAUGCGCAGAUAUCGGGAAGAACACCCAUGGCGAAGGCAGCUCUCUGGGACGGUACUGACGCUGAGACGCGAAAGCGUGGGGAGCGAACAGG
RNAcentral lists this ribosomal RNA (253 nucleotides) under uncultured bacterium. RNAcentral describes it as "partial 16S ribosomal RNA". It matches the Rfam family "Bacterial small subunit ribosomal RNA", at positions 524 to 776 of the family's 1533-position model. The record is from RNAcentral.